AGCGAACGCUGGCGGCAUGCUUAACACAUGCAAGUCGCACGGGCGGGGGCAACUCCGUCAGUGGCGGACGGGUGAGUAACGCGUAGGAAUCUAUCCUUGAAUGGGGGACAACCGUGGGAAACUACGGCUAAUACCGCAUGAUGCCUGAGGGCCAAAGACGAAAGUCGUUUGAGGAGGAGCCUGCGUCUGAUUAGGUAGUUGGUGGGGUAAAGGCCUACCCAAGCCUACGAUCAGUAGCUGGUCUGAGAGGAUGAUCAGCCACAUUGGGACUGAGACACGGCCCAAACUCCUACGGGAGGCAGCAGUGGGGAAUAUUGGACAAUGGGCGCAAGCCUGAUCCAGCAAUGCCGCGUGGGUGAAGAAGGUCUUCGGAUUGUAAAGCCCUUUUGGCGGGGACGACGAUGACGGUACCCGCAGAAUAAGCUCCGGCUAACUUCGUG
This 440-nucleotide ribosomal RNA is filed under the name uncultured bacterium. RNAcentral's name for it is "bacterial SSU rRNA". It matches the Rfam family "Bacterial small subunit ribosomal RNA", at positions 29 to 507 of the family's 1533-position model. The record is from RNAcentral.